This 119-nucleotide ribosomal RNA is filed under the name Columba livia (rock pigeon). The record is from RNAcentral. Lineage: Eukaryota; Metazoa; Chordata; Aves; Columbiformes; Columbidae.
AUACACAGCCAUAGCACCCUGAGAAUGCCCCAUCUCAUCUGAUCUGGGAAGCUAAGCAGGGUCGGGCCUGGUCAGUACUUGGAUGGGAGACCAGGUGGGAAUCUUGGGUGCUGUGGGCU